RNAcentral lists this long non-coding RNA (715 nucleotides) under Selaginella moellendorffii. RNAcentral's name for it is "long non-coding RNA (SMOE_LNC001551)". The record is from RNAcentral. Lineage: Eukaryota; Viridiplantae; Streptophyta; Lycopodiopsida; Selaginellales; Selaginellaceae.
CAAAAGUGCGUUUCUUUUGUUGUCACUGAUGGCAUUUUGGAUUGUGUUGCUGCUUCUUGCACCAAAUUUUGCUGCUGCUACUGCUAGAAAUCCCACUAAGGAUGCGGUUUCUGCCAGAGGAGCGCAUGGUGCAUCUUACCACUUGGAGCACAACGACAUAAACGAGCGCGGCAGACAUCCCCCACGCCCUUGAAUCCAGUGGGGCAACUCAAUGUGUUGUCAAGGUUUUAUAAAGAUAUUGACAAGCUUGCGAAAUAGACGAUACAUAAUCUGGCCACAAGUCAACAAAAAUAAAAAUUGGUUUAAGGUGUGAAUGUCUCAAGUCUGUCAGUCUCUCCUCAAAGAUCAAGAUCUAGUCAACUGCCAGUCCACAAAGGUCAAAAUGCUUGACUUAGCCAUAUGACGCAUCAAUAUAGUCUGGACUGGAGAAAAGAAGAUCAACUGGAAUGUCUCAGCCCUUUCAAUUUGGAAGGCUGUGAAGAACUUGCAAGAAAAGCAAGCUCCACUUUUUCUACUACAGGGUGAGAUAUUUAGCUAGAACUACCUGAGGAAUUUUCACAAAAUUAAUUAGAGAUUCAAUUUUUUUUUAUUUUAUGAAGCAUCAAUAUAGUCUGGACUGGAGAAACGAAGAUCAGCCCUUACAAUUUGGAAGGCUCCGAAGAACUUGCAGGAAAAGCAAGCUCCCCUUUUUCUACUACAGGGUGAGAUAUUUGGU